Molecule: ribosomal RNA, 398 nt
Filed under: Mayetiola destructor (Hessian fly)
Lineage: Eukaryota; Metazoa; Arthropoda; Insecta; Diptera; Cecidomyiidae
Description: partial 12S ribosomal RNA
Source: RNAcentral
AAACUAGGAUUAGAUACCCUUUUAUUUAUUAUUAAAAUUUUUUAUUUAAUAAAUAUUUUUUAAUAAAAAAAUUAAUUAAAAUGGCAGUAUAUUAUAAAAUUAGAGGAUUUUGUUAUAUAAUAGAUAUUACACUUUAAAAUUUAUUUAAUUUUUUGUUAUAUAUUGUAUAUUGUUGUAUUAAACUGAUAUUUUAAAAAUUAUUAGUAUUUUUUUUUUAAAAAAAAUAAAUUCAAAUCAACAUACAUGCCAUAAUUAAAAUUUAAAUGAAAUACAAUUAAAUCUAUUAAUGAAUAAUAAAUUGUAAAAUUUAUUUAAAAUUGGAUUUAAUAGUAAAAAUUUAAUAAAUUUUUUAUUUGAAUUAAAUUAAUAUAUGUACAUAUUGCCCGUCGUUUUUAAUU